Molecule: non-coding RNA, 203 nt
Filed under: Sphingomonas sp.
Lineage: Bacteria; Pseudomonadati; Pseudomonadota; Alphaproteobacteria; Sphingomonadales; Sphingomonadaceae
Also listed under: 1 other name
Source: RNAcentral
AGGCGCCGGCGCGUGACGGGUUCCCGGCGACGGGAUCAAAAGGGAAGUCGGUGAGCGGGGAUACCCCCGCGGUUCCGGCGCUGUUCCCGCAACUGUGACCGGCGAGCAGCCACCCCAUGAUGCCACUGGACGAUCGUCCGGGAAGGCGGGGCGGUUCGCGAUGACCCGGAAGCCAGGAGACCUGCCCGUCACGGUCGAUCCUU